Molecule: ribosomal RNA, 497 nt
Filed under: uncultured bacterium
Lineage: Bacteria
Description: partial 16S ribosomal RNA
Rfam family: Bacterial small subunit ribosomal RNA
Source: RNAcentral
GAUGAACGCCGGCGGCGUGCCUAAUACAUGCCAGUCGAGCGAACAGACGAGGAGCUUGCUCCUCUGACGUUAGCGGCGGACGGGUGAGUAACACGUGGAUAACCUACCUAUAAGACUGGGAUAACUUCGGGAAACCGGAGCUAAUACCGGAUAAUAUAUUGAACCGCAUGGUUCAAUAGUGAAAGACGGUUUUGCUGUCACUUAUAGAUGGAUCCGCGCCGCAUUAGCUAGUUGGUAAGGUAACGGCUUACCAAGGCAACGAUGCGUAGCCGACCUGAGAGGGUGAACGGCCACACUGGAACUGAGACACGGUCCAGACUCCUACGGGAGGCAGCAGUAGGGAAUCUUCCGCAAUGGGCGAAAGCCUGACGGAGCAACGCCGCGUGAGUGAUGAAGGUCUUCGGAUCGUAAAACUCUGUUAUUAGGGAAGAACAAAUGUGUAAGUAACUAUGCACGUCUUGACGGUACCUAAUCAGAAAGCCACGGCUAACUACGUG